AGAUUAAGUUAUUAAGGGCGCACGGUGGAUGCCUUGGCACUAGAAGCCGAUGAAGGACGUUACUAACGACGAUAUGCUUUGGGUAGCUGUAAGUAAGCGUUGAUCCAGAGAUUUCCGAAUGGGGGAACCCAGCAUGAGUUAUGUCAUGUUAUCGACAUGUGAAUUCAUAGCAUGUCAGAAGGCAGACCCGGAGAACUGAAACAUCUUAGUACCCGGAGGAAGAGAAAGAAAAAUCGAUUCCCUGAGUAGCGGCGAGCGAAACGGGAAUAGCCCAAACCAACAAGCUUGCUUGUUGGGGUUGUAGGACACUCUAUACGGAGUUACAAAAGAACAUGUUAGACGAAUCAUCUGGAAAGAUGAAUCAAAGAAGGUAAUAAUCCUGUAGUCGAAAACAUAUUCUCUCUUGAGUGGAUCCUGAGUACGACGGAGCACGUGAAAUUCCGUCGGAAUCUGGGAGGACCAUCUCCUAAGGCUAAAUACUCUCUAGUGACCGAUAGUGAACCAGUACCGUGAGGGAAAGGUGAAAAGUACCCCGGAAGGGGAGUGAAAGAGAACUUGAAACCGUGUGCUUACAAGUAGUCAGAGCCCGUUAAUGGGUGAUGGCGUGCCUUUUGUAGAAUGAACCGGCGAGUUACGAUCUGAUGCAAGGUUAAGCAGCAAAUGUGGAGCCGCAGCGAAAGCGAGUCUGAAUAGGGCGUUGAGUAUUUGGUCGUAGACCCGAAACCAGGUGAUCUACCCUUGGUCAGGUUGAAGUUCAGGUAACACUGAAUGGAGGACCGAACCGACUUACGUUGAAAAGUGAGCGGAUGAACUGAGGGUAGCGGAGAAAUUCCAAUCGAACUUGGAGAUAGCUGGUUCUCUCCGAAAUAGCUUUAGGGCUAGCCUCAAGUGAUGAUUAUUGGAGGUAGAGCACUGUUUGGACGAGGGGCCCCUCUCGGGUUACCGAAUUCAGACAAACUCCGAAUGCCAAUUAAUUUAACUUGGGAGUCA
Molecule: ribosomal RNA, 990 nt
Filed under: Staphylococcus epidermidis
Lineage: Bacteria; Bacillati; Bacillota; Bacilli; Caryophanales; Staphylococcaceae
Description: bacterial LSU rRNA
Rfam family: Bacterial large subunit ribosomal RNA
Source: RNAcentral